RNAcentral lists this non-coding RNA (168 nucleotides) under Bos taurus (domestic cattle). RNAcentral's name for it is "Eukaryotic large subunit ribosomal RNA". It matches the Rfam family "Eukaryotic large subunit ribosomal RNA", at positions 2138 to 2327 of the family's 3401-position model. The record is from Rfam by way of RNAcentral. Lineage: Eukaryota; Metazoa; Chordata; Mammalia; Artiodactyla; Bovidae. RNAcentral also lists the same sequence under 4 other names.
CUGUUUAAUUUAAACAAAGGCAACAGUAGGUACUGAUAUGAUAUGGUUUCUGCCCAGUACAUUCAAUGUCAGAGUGAAAAAAUUCAAUGAAGUUAAAUAAAUGGCAGAGUAACUAUGAUUCUCUUAAGCCAAUGCUUCGUCAUCUAAUCAGAGACAUGUAUGAAUUCA